UAGCCUAGACUGAAUUUGCUUGUCGUCUCCAUAGCGAAGCCCCUGACAAAGCAAAGGAAACAGAUUCUCACAUUAAGCCAUUGGAGGCGAUAGACGUUGCUAAUGCCGUGGUUUAUGUCCUGAGUGCCCCGCCUCAUGUUCAGGUGGGAGAUGUUGUGCUGCGACCUGUGGAGCAGCAGAUGUGAUGUUGACCCGUGUGAUGGCUGCAUUUACACACUCACUCUUCAGAUGAUCUCCAUCUGUGAAAUUAAUGAAGUUAAUCUCCAAUUAAAAGAAUAAAAGUCUAAUUUUAAGGUG
Molecule: long non-coding RNA, 297 nt
Organism: Xiphophorus couchianus (Monterrey platyfish)
Lineage: Eukaryota; Metazoa; Chordata; Actinopteri; Cyprinodontiformes; Poeciliidae
Exons: 3
Source: RefSeq, a predicted model, not a curated record